UCUUUGACAUUACCAGAGCACCUCGGGCCUU
RNAcentral lists this non-coding RNA (31 nucleotides) under Rattus norvegicus (Norway rat). The record is from RNAcentral. Lineage: Eukaryota; Metazoa; Chordata; Mammalia; Rodentia; Muridae.